UCCUGGCCGCCUCCGACCGUCUCCAGCGCCGGCGAGAUGGGGCUUUCGUCCGCCUCGAUGAGCUUUGUAUCCUUCCCCAACUCGAUUUGGUUUUCCAGCUCUACCUCGUCCGCCCCCAAACCUAGAAACCCUAGCGGCCGCACCGUCAUCCUCUCUCGAGUUCCCGAUGUGCUAGGGUUUCUGGCAUGCGGCCGCCAUCGAGCUCCGGCGAUGGCUUUCAUCCGUCGGACCUCCGCCUGAAAAGCGAAGGUGAGCUCAUUCCACUCACUCCACCGUCGCGAAGGUGAGCGAGGUACGUGGAUCCAGCUCGACUCGGUCCCCACGGCUUCUCGUGCAUGCCGCCGACCCCGGAACCCUAAAUGUCGCCGGCUGAUUUCGUCGCCGCCGGUGUAUUCCGGCCGACCUAGGUGCUGGUUCCGCUCCGCGCUACCACAUAGUCGUUCUCCCCCGCGUGCUCCGCCUCGUACACCACCAAUCGCGGCUCCAAGUCGCUUCCCACGCGGAACCCUAACCCCGUCGCUCGGCAUGGGCACCGAGGACAACGCGACCAUUCCCGCGCGACCUCCUAGAGGCCUACCUGGUCCUCCACAGCUCGACUCCCGACUACCUGGACAACCCCGGCGUCCUCUGAUCCGCCGCCUCGCGGUGAUGCUUGUCUGCUGCUCAGGUGGCGAUGACUGCUGUGGCUAUGAGGACUACCUCCGGCUCCGGUGCUCCCAUCGUGGCAUCCUUGAAGCAAUAUAGGAGGACGAGGGAGCUCAACCUGGAGGUCAGCCUGAGGGACAUUCAUAAAAGAGACAAAUCUGAAGUGAUACUGGAUUUAGCUCUAACUGAAUUUAUUCAGUGUUGAGCCGGGGAACUAAACUUAACUAUUCCUCAACGCAUUCAUGACAUCGAUCUUCACUUCAGGAGCCCAGCAGCCCAGGAGACUAUGGGUUCACUGGUGGUCUUUCCUCUAGGCUGCACACAUGUUGAUCCAUCUAGGUUAAGUAUUCAUUCUUCUUUUCUCAUUGCCUUCAUUGGUUCAUUCUGUUUCAAACUGUUGUGGCAACAAGUACGAAACCGAGGCUUACAUUUCAGGACUACAUUAUCUACAAAGUUUCCUCUCAUCACCAUGCACAGGUAUGCAGACUGUUAUCUUCUUCUCAUACAUACAUGCUAAUGCAUGUAAUUAAUUUGUGAAAUAUCAAUAGUGGAGAGUGAGAGUGAGGGGUCAAGAGCAUUCAAGUGAUCCGUUGUUGAUUUAGAGAGUCAUGGAAUUCACCUUUGGUACUGUAUGCAUGAAUUGAAAUACACUUCGAUUGCUGUUAAGCAUGUUUAUCUGUAAACAUACAUCAGGUAUAAGUUUGAUGCAAUAGGGAAGCGAUCGGCUCAAUUAUAUAGUCAAGGUUACAUACAUAUAGUUUGGCUGCACUAUAUUGAUCAUUCUGUUUUUAGCCUUUCAUGUUUUUGAAGUUUUGGAUAUAAAACAAUCUAACACUGACCGAUUAUAUUCCCCUGGUAUGAUGAGAUUCUUACAUUCAUCGAUAGGUUGAUGACGUAUUCCUCUCCUCUUCCUCAUGUUGAGAUUUGAUAUGUUUCUCUUCCUUUCGGAUUGCUAGGGCCCCUUUUUUCUUGCUGUGGUUGUAGUCCAAAUUUUAAUAGUUACAGUAUAUAUGUAUAAAUAGGGAUUUCGCGCCAUGGAUACUUAUGCCCCUGAUAAGCACAUCUCUCGGUAGCUCUUGAUGUUUUAGUUUAGUUGUACAUUAAAAAGGGUGCUCAUAUGGCCUUCCAACAAAUAUUGUUAGUUAGUGGUGGCCCUUUUUUGAAUAAUUUAGAAACUAUUGUCUUGCUGCUGUACUACUAAACUCUGGGUGCUUCUUCAUAACGGAGCAAUGCUUCUUAUGGCAAUAAAAGACGAUAUUAAGGUGGAAGCCAUGCUAAAAAAGAUUGUGCAACAGAUAGGUCCUAAGUUUAUGUUUUAUCAUGUGUAUUCUUUAGUGAAUGUUAUUAUUCAUUAGUUAACACCUCCAAUUCGAAUGCUACUUCCUUUAUUGCAUUCAACCCACAAAUUUUCGAUGAAGAUAUUGAUCCCACCAAUCAGCUAAAGUAGUGCAGAUAUGGGAAAUAGCUACUGUUACAUUACCUUAGUCAAGAGUUCAGCUUCUUUAAAGCUAAAACCCCUGCAAGGGUCAGAAUUUUCAUUGAAUACUCUCACAGGAAACAUUACAGAUGUUGAUUCCAGAAGGUAUAGCAAAUAACUAAAUAUGAUUGUAGGCACAGGGAAGAAGUGGUUUUUAGAUUUGUACAUUGAAAUGUUACAACUAGGUAAUCUAUUCGAUUUUCCACUUGUUUUUAAAACAUCAUUGUCAUAGUUUAUCUUUCAUUGCACAUGUUUGGACAUCAAGUUUGCCCCUCUUAAUUUUUCAUGCCCACUAUGCAAUUCUGGUGAAGACGAAACAUUGGAACACGCAUUCUUCAUUGCUCCUUUGCUACUUGGUGUUCAAACAUAUUGCACACAUAAACUGGAAUCUUCGUCUCAACUGAUUUGAGACUAUUACUGAAGGAAAGAAUUAUUUUCAAGGAUAGAUUUUGUUCAAUUUUUUUAUAAUUUCAGCCUGUGGUAUCUGGAAAGAAAGGAAUUUGUAUCUCAGGGGUGUAAGGCCUAUCGGGAGUGUUUGGAGAGCUAGAGUGGCAGCUGAUCUGCACCUUCUUAGAUACAAGGUCUCUCAAGACUUCACUUUUUUACACUUUCCGUUGUAGAUAGAAACUGAGCUUUGUAAUCCUAGGAUGAUUCCAGAGGGUUUUACAUCCAACGAUAUAAUUAUCUUUCUGUAUUAGUAUCUAUACCACAGUAGGAGACGGCUCCUACUGUUUCACUAUCAAAAAGAAAUCUAUUCUGCUUUUUAAACUACUUUUCUAUACCAUCAGUUUUAACCUUCUAUUUUAGGCUUCCUGGCCAUUUGGCACCAUGGAAGGAUGCGAGUUAACACAUCCUACCGUCUUAUUCUCUAUUCACACCGUUUUAUAUUUUCAUUGGAUGCAGGCUAUGAUGAUCUCAAAGUUGCAUGCUGGUCUAGCAAUACUGAAUAGCUGUGAAUAUUUAUUAUUAUAAGAGAUAUGGAGAUGUAGCUGCUAUGGUGAUAUAUUGUCUCAGUGAACAGUCCAGUACGUAUCUGAAGUUCCAACACUGAUCUGUUAUGCUGCGUUUUUCCAACACUGAUAUGUUAUGCUGCGUUUUGAGGGAAGUACAUGACGAUAAUGUCAACCAAAAUUGAUGUUCAUGUAUCCGUGGUUUGUUGAUCGUAUCGACGGAAGGUAGUGCAAUGCUGUUCACCAUGAAGUAAUAUCGUUUAAUAUAUAAUGGUGUGCUCUUCAAUUAAACUGAUGUAUGUAUUGCCUACAUUGAAUAUGCUCAUCUAUCUUCCCUUGGUUAUAACAAUUUGGUUUUCUGCUGCUCUUAGUAUCAGAGAAGUUCAUGACUCCAUGAUUGGUCUGAUGUUGGGAGCUCCGGUGACGAGCAAAGCGGGCCCUCGACUCGGGGAGGAGCUUACGCGCCAUUCAUCAAUUCUCUGGACAAAUACAUGACAACGUCAUUCUCGCUUCCAGCGACAACACACUAUAUUAUGUCUUUUGUGUCAUAGUUCCUGCACACAUGUCUUUCUUUGGUUUAAUAGAAUCGGAGGCUCGAUAUGUUCCGUUCUGGUCAUAAGAUCUCCUAACAGUCUCAAUAUCAUGGUCUUUCCAUGCUUGAGCAUACUUGCACGUAGCAUAUUCUCCGAUACCACCGCCGCUUCCCCUCAUUGGUACAGGAUAGCCUAGCCAUUUUAGUUGAUCUAGUUAUUGCUAUUUAUGCGAAAUACAUGGUACAAUCUAAGUGGUGUGUUCAUGUUAUUUCAACUACUUUCUCAUCACACGCCGCGCCAAUCAUUUGCUAGUUAUAUUUAGAUAAGGUUGGGUGUUGAUAAUUUGACCAUAUCCAGUAGGAUUUUAAAUAAACAGGUAUUUCUUGCCUGUCACCAUAAUAUUUUUAUUUUGAAUGUUUACUUCAAUGUUUCAGGUUGAGUUAAUUGUUAUCAUCACUGGUUAUUUCCAACUGUCUGCUUCCAAUGAACUCUGAAUUUAAUGCCGUGCAGAACUAUGAAACCUUGAUUCAGUUUCUUCAUUCAUAUCCUCUACUCUUUUCCCUUUUCUGUUUUCUGCAUAUAUAGCAUGGCUUAUUCUAUAUGGAUCACAUACCCGCCUUAUGCAUAUAUUUUUGAUGGCUUAAUCUAGGUAAGAUGAUUACAUCAUAGAGCAUGAAGUAUUUACAAUAUUAUGCUUUGUUAGAAUUAAAAUUAGUAAGAUGAAAAAUAUAGUACAACAGAGGAUUCCAAACCAAACUUACAUACAGCUUAGCACUGUCCUUUGACUCGGUUAUUAACAGAUCCAUGCGUACUAAUUUCUAGCUCAAUGUUACAUUGUUUCCAUGUGAGCUCAAACCGUUUGCAGUAUGUACACAAAAAGCCCCAAUGCUCAUCCUCAUUGCUCUGCACUCCACAAUUUUCGAUUUCCUUGAUGCUUUGUCUAUGGUAAGAUGCUUCCACUAUAUUACAUUUCAGCAAAAACACAGUGUAGUUGGAUAAUCAAACGGUAGUGUAAGAAAUAAGUUUAUCCAGUGUGUAGUGGCCAUUAUGUGGCUGCAGGGCACAAACAAGCAAUUCUUUUUAUUCUUAAAAUAAAGAUGUUUUCUUUUGUAGAAAAUUAUCAUUAUUGGUUACAACUUUUGCCUCAUGGUUCCCUGUAGAGAUCUACAACAAAGUAAAAUGAAAUGCUGAUGUAUGUUCAGUUCACAUCUUGAGAGAGCAACUAUUGUCUGUGUAUCAUAAUCCUACACCACCUUGAAUUUGGAAUGAUUGACAAGCAAUUUGUUAUCCUUAGUGAUUACUAAUAUAUUUUGACAAGAUUUUAGCCAUGAUGACUGAUAUUUUUGCAUAAUAAUAUUAAGAUUUACACUUGGAAUGCUAAUUCUAGGACAGGAUAAGCAACACGAUCAUGUUUUCCCAGAAUUGGUUCUAUUUUAUCCUUUCAUGGUUCAAAUGCCACUCUGAUCAUAUAUAUUGUAAAUAUUCAUCUUUCAUUAAGCUUUACAAUUUAGAAUUUUCAUUUGUUCUGAAUAGAACAAUGUUUGAUGCAAUUUACAUUGGUCACGUGAAAGUAUCGUUUGAUUAAGACUUGCAGUGUUACAUGACUCUGGUAAAUAUUUGUGUAUCUCAAGAUGAAUUUUGUUGUUGUUACUUAUUCUACAACUGUAGCUGCUAAUAUUUUUUCAUCCUGUUAUCUGUCAAUAAUUUAUGGUAUGUUCCAGACUGUUUAUUCUUUCUAGCAUAUCUUACCAUAUUUAUCAUGGUUUACUUGUGCUUCUAGGGCCUUGAGAUAUGUUACAACAAAGUUGUUUAAUCGGGUAUUUGCUUCGGUCCCGGAAGAUGUGAGAUGUCAUGAAGAACUAUUUGAGAAGAACUAUUUGAGAAGAUAUAUUUGCUACAGAAGUUUGUACGUCCUGAAAAAUUGGAUAUAAAACCAGAAUAUCAAAAUGAAUUACUACUGUGAUGUUACAUACUGUGAUGGUACUGGUAUUCCAGAUUAUUUACUGUGGUGGUUAUG
Molecule: long non-coding RNA, 5622 nt
Organism: Lolium rigidum
Lineage: Eukaryota; Viridiplantae; Streptophyta; Magnoliopsida; Poales; Poaceae
Exons: 4
Source: RefSeq, a predicted model, not a curated record